Molecule: ribosomal RNA, 466 nt
Filed under: Enterococcus faecium
Lineage: Bacteria; Bacillati; Bacillota; Bacilli; Lactobacillales; Enterococcaceae
Description: bacterial SSU rRNA
Rfam family: Bacterial small subunit ribosomal RNA
Source: RNAcentral
UUUUAUGAGAGUUUGAUCCUGGCUCAGGACGAACGCUGGCGGCGUGCCUAAUACAUGCAAGUCGAACGCUUCUUUUUCCACCGGAGCUUGCUCCACCGGAAAAAGAGGAGUGGCGAACGGGUGAGUAACACGUGGGUAACCUGCCCAUCAGAAGGGGAUAACACUUGGAAACAGGUGCUAAUACCGUAUAACAAUCGAAACCGCAUGGUUUUGAUUUGAAAGGCGCUUUCGGGUGUCGCUGAUGGAUGGACCCGCGGUGCAUUAGCUAGUUGGUGAGGUAACGGCUCACCAAGGCCACGAUGCAUAGCCGACCUGAGAGGGUGAUCGGCCACAUUGGGACUGAGACACGGCCCAAACUCCUACGGGAGGCAGCAGUAGGGAAUCUUCGGCAAUGGACGAAAGUCUGACCGAGCAACGCCGCGUGAGUGAAGAAGGUUUUCGGAUCGUAAAACUCUGUUGUUAGAGA